GAAAUAUACAUAAUUAAGCUUCUAACUUAAACAAUAGCGUAAACUACGUUAAUAUUUCU
RNAcentral lists this transfer RNA (59 nucleotides) under Hycleus marcipoli. RNAcentral's name for it is "tRNA-Ser". The record is from RNAcentral. Lineage: Eukaryota; Metazoa; Arthropoda; Insecta; Coleoptera; Meloidae.